RNAcentral lists this unclassified non-coding RNA (246 nucleotides) under Hevea brasiliensis (rubber tree). The record is from RNAcentral. Lineage: Eukaryota; Viridiplantae; Streptophyta; Magnoliopsida; Malpighiales; Euphorbiaceae.
AUUUAUUUCCCCUGCUUAAGGAAUGGAAUUCCAAAGGCGGUCGCGUUACUGAUUGCUUUCCUUGUAUCUGCUGUUUUCCAUGAGCUGUGUAUUGCUGUUCCUUGUCGCCUUUUCAAGUUUUGGGCAUUCAUUGGAAUUAUGUUCCAGGUUCCUUUGGUCAUUCUCACAAACUUCUUACAAAAUCAGUUCCAAAGCUCGAUGGUUGGCAAUAUGAUGUUCUGGUGCUUUUUCUGCAUUCUUGGUCAG